GACGAACGCUGGCGGCGUGCCUAAUACAUGCAAGUAGAACGCACAGUUUAUACCGUAGCUUGCUACACCAUAGACUGUGAGUUGCGAACGGGUGAGUAACGCGUAGGUAACCUGCCUGGUAGCGGGUGAUAACUAUUGGAAACGAUAGCUAAUACCGCAUAAUAUUAAUUAUUGCAUGAUAAUUAAUUGAAAGGUGCAAUUGCACCACUACCAGAUGGACCUGCGUUGUAUUAGCUAGUAGGUGAGGUAACGGCUCACCUAGGCGACGAUACAUAGCCGACCUGAGAGGGUGAUCGGCCACACUGGGACUGAGACACGGCCCAGACUCCUACGGGAGGCAGCAGUAGGGAAUCUUCGGCAAUGGACGAAAGUCUGACCGAGCAACGCCGCGUGAGUGAAGAAGGUUUUCGGAUCGUAAAGCCCGGUUGUAAGAGAAGAACGGGUGUGAGAGUGGAAAGUUCACACUGUGACGGUAUCUUACCAGAAAGGGACGGCUAACUACGUG
Molecule: ribosomal RNA, 505 nt
Filed under: uncultured bacterium
Lineage: Bacteria
Description: partial 16S ribosomal RNA
Rfam family: Bacterial small subunit ribosomal RNA
Source: RNAcentral